Molecule: ribosomal RNA, 474 nt
Filed under: uncultured bacterium
Lineage: Bacteria
Description: bacterial SSU rRNA
Rfam family: Bacterial small subunit ribosomal RNA
Source: RNAcentral
CAGGCCUAACACAUGCAAGUCGAACGGUGGCAGCAAUGCCAUAGUGGCGCACGGGUGCGUAACACGUAACUAACCUGCCCAGACCUGGGGGAUAGCCCGCCGAAAGGCGGAUUAAUACCGCAUAAGAUAAUAAGGUGGCAUCACCUAGUUAUUAAAGAUUUAUCGGGUUUGGAUGGGGUUGCGGGUCAUUAGCUAGUUGGUAAGGUAAUGGCUUACCAAGGCGACGAUGACUAGGGGAGCUGAGAGGCUGGUCCCCCACACGGGCACUGAGAUACGGGCCCGACUCCUACGGGAGGCAGCAGUAGGGAAUAUUGGGCAAUGGGCGAGAGCCUGACCCAGCCAUGCCGCGUGCAGGAAGAAGGCUUUCUGAGUCGUAAACUGCUUUUGAUAGGGAAGAAUAACCAGUACGUGUACUGGGAUGACGGUACCUACAGAAUAAGCACCGGCUAACUCCGUGCCAGCAGCCGCGGUAAU